AGCUCCAAUAGCGUAUAUUAAAGUUGUUGCGGUUAAAACGCUCGUAGUUUGAAAUCUGUUAAGGACGAUCUGUCUGCCCUCUGGGUGUGUAUUUGGUCUAGCCUUGGCAUUUCCUUGAACAAGACAACUGCACUUGAUUGUGUGGUGUUGAUUUCAAGGUGUUUACUUUGAGGAAAUCAGAGUGCUUCCAGCAGGUGUGCGCCUUGAAUACAUUAGCAUGGAAUAUCAUUAUAUGGUUUGGAUUUUUACUUGUUGGUUUUUAAAAUUGAAGCAAUGAUAAAUAGGGAUAAUUGGGGGCACUUGUAUUUAAUUGUCAGAGGUGAAAUUCUUGGAUUUGUGAAAGACAAACUACUGCGAAAGCAUUUGCCAAAAAUGUUUUCA
Molecule: ribosomal RNA, 381 nt
Filed under: uncultured eukaryote
Lineage: Eukaryota
Description: SSU rRNA
Rfam family: Eukaryotic small subunit ribosomal RNA
Source: RNAcentral